GAAAAUAUUUAACUCCUCAGGGACGAUGAGGCCAGGAAAACCAGUGUAGGAAUGUUGCAGAAACGUACUGGUUCGUUGAAGAGCCAUAACCCUGGAGUCUUGACUAAUGGCUCAUAACCCGUGCUGAGGGAGGUCUCCAGUGGAGUACUAAAGAGAUCUUCCCUUGUCUCUAUCUUUGCAACAUUUUCGACUUAGAUGAAGACGUAGAAGGUUUACGUUUCUUCGCGCCGAAGCAAUCUUUCAAAAGUUGCUUUAGUGAAGAUCUGUUGGUUGUAGAGUCUGUUACACUUUGUAUGUCUGACAAGAACUUCAUUCUACCCUCACCUUCAAAGACUAGUUGAACUGAACGCAAUGUUCUAGAACGACAGCUCUUCCAUCGUCUUUUGGCAUGUACUGUUGCAUGGUAGGAAUCUACCGUCAGGUCUUGUUCCUCUGUAGAUCAUCUGUUCUCUCCACUCCACGGCUUUUAAGGAAUUCUGGAAAGUGGGAAGUCCAAGACCAGGGCAAAGAUUCGGUGCCAGUGAGAACCCAGCUCUUGGUUCCUAGAUGGCUGCCUUCUGGCUGUCUCCUCACAUGGCGUGAAGAAAAUGAAAACAAAAUGAUAGAGCCCUCUGGGAUCUCUUUUAUAAGUGCAGUGAUCCCAUUCAUAAGGGACCCACCAUUAUGAUCUAAUCAUCUCCCCAAGGCUCCACGUAAAUACCGUCGUAUUGGAGACUAGGUUUCAAUAUACAUGUGAGGGAUGAGAAGGACACAGGCUUUCAGUCUAUGGCUUGUAGCCUGUACUCUUUUGUGUCAGGUUCCUUUUGCUCUUCUGCAUUGCUGUGUGUGUCAGCAAUUUAUUCCUUUUCAUUGUUGAGCGAUAUAACAGUAUUUGUUUGCCCAUUCUCCUGUCAAUAGACAUCCGGGAUGUUUUCAGUUUGGGGCUAUUAUGAGCAGAACUACUCCGAAUAUACUUGUGCAAGGCUU
Long non-coding RNA from Leopardus geoffroyi (Geoffroy's cat), 966 nucleotides. RefSeq lists it as uncharacterized. Lineage: Eukaryota; Metazoa; Chordata; Mammalia; Carnivora; Felidae. The transcript has 3 exons. The record is from RefSeq and is a predicted model, not a curated record.